UUGAACGCUGGCGGCAGGCCUAACACCUGCCAGUCGAACGGUAACAGGAAGAAGCUUGCUUCUUUGCUGACGAGUGGCGGCCGGGUGAGUAAUGUCUGGGAAACUGCCUGAUGGAGGGGGAUAACUACUGGAAACGGUAGCUAAUACCGCAUAACGUCGCAAGACCAAAGAGGGGGACCUUCGGGCCUCUUGCCAUCGGAUGUGCCCAGAUGGGAUUAGCUAGUAGGUGGGGUAACGGCUCACCUAGGCGACGAUCCCUAGCUGGUCUGAGAGGAUGACCAGCCACACUGGAACUGAGACACGGUCCAGACUCCUACGGGAGGCAGCAGUGGGGAAUAUUGCACAAUGGGCGCAAGCCUGAUGCAGCCAUGCCGCGUGUAUGAAGAAGGCCUUCGGGUUGUAAAGUACUUUCAGCGGGGAGGAAGGGAGUAAAGUUAAUACCUUUGCUCAUUGACGUUACCCGCAGAAGAAGCACCGGCUAACUCCGUG
This 489-nucleotide ribosomal RNA is filed under the name uncultured bacterium. RNAcentral's name for it is "partial 16S ribosomal RNA". It matches the Rfam family "Bacterial small subunit ribosomal RNA", at positions 30 to 507 of the family's 1533-position model. The record is from RNAcentral.